This 372-nucleotide ribosomal RNA is filed under the name uncultured organism. RNAcentral's name for it is "bacterial SSU rRNA". It matches the Rfam family "Bacterial small subunit ribosomal RNA", at positions 526 to 896 of the family's 1533-position model. The record is from RNAcentral.
CAGAGACUGCGAGCGUUAUUCGGAUUCACUGGGCGUAAAGGGUGCGCAGGCGGCCGUGUGUGUGAGGCGUGAAAGCCCGGGGCUUAACCCCGGAAUUGCACCUCAAACUACAUGGCUAGAGCAUUGGAGAGGGUAGCGGAAUUCACGGUGUAGCAGUGAAAUGCGUAGAUAUCGUGAGAAACACCAGAGGCGAAGGCGGCUACCUGGACAAUUGCUGACGCUCAGGCACGAAAGCGUGGGGAGCAAAAGGGAUUAGAUACCCCUGUAGUCCACGCCCUAAACGGUGCACACUAGGUCUUCGCCGGAUCGACCCCAUCAGGGCCCAAGCUAACGCGUUAAGUGUGCCGCCUGAGGACUACGGCCGCAAGGCUA